AUUGAACGCUAGCGGCAGGCUUAACACAUGCAAGUCGAGCGGGGUGAUGGUGCUUGCACUAUCACUUAGCGGCGGACGGGUGAGUAAUGCUUAGGAAUCUGCCUAUUAGUGGGGGACAACAUCUCGAAAGGGAUGCUAAUACCGCAUACGUCCUACGGGAGAAAGCAGGGGAUCACUUGUGACCUUGCGCUAAUAGAUGAGCCUAAGUCGGAUUAGCUAGUUGGUGGGGUAAAGGCCUACCAAGGCGACGAUCUGUAGCGGGUCUGAGAGGAUGAUCCGCCACACUGGGACUGAGACACGGCCCAGACUCCUACGGGAGGCAGCAGUGGGGAGUAUUGGACAAUGGGGGGAACCCUGAUCCAGCCAUGCCGCGUGUGUGAAGAAGGCCUUAUGGUUGUAAAGCACUUUAAGCGAGGAGGAGGCUCUUUUGGUUAAUACCCAAGAUGAGUGGACGUUACUCGCAGAAUAAGCACCGGCUAACUCUGUGCCAGCCGCCGCAGUAA
RNAcentral lists this ribosomal RNA (503 nucleotides) under uncultured bacterium. RNAcentral describes it as "partial 16S ribosomal RNA". It matches the Rfam family "Bacterial small subunit ribosomal RNA", at positions 30 to 523 of the family's 1533-position model. The record is from RNAcentral.